This 1373-nucleotide ribosomal RNA is filed under the name uncultured bacterium. RNAcentral describes it as "bacterial SSU rRNA". It matches the Rfam family "Bacterial small subunit ribosomal RNA", at positions 28 to 1381 of the family's 1533-position model. The record is from RNAcentral.
GAUGAACGCUGGCGGCGUGCCUAAUACAUGCAAGUCGAGCGAACGGACGAGAAGCUUGCUUCUCUGAUGUUAGCGGCGGACGGGUGAGUAACACGUGGAUAACCUACCUAUAAGACUGGGAUAACUUCGGGAAACCGGAGCUAAUACCGGAUAAUAUUUUGAACCGCAUGGUUCAAAAGUGAAAGACGGUCUUGCUGUCACUUAUAGAUGGAUCCGCGCUGCAUUAGCUAGUUGGUAAGGUAACGGCUUACCAAGGCAACGAUGCAUAGCCGACCUGAGAGGGUGAUCGGCCACACUGGAACUGAGACACGGUCCAGACUCCUACGGGAGGCAGCAGUAGGGAAUCUUCCGCAAUGGGCGAAAGCCUGACGGAGCAACGCCGCGUGAGUGAUGAAGGUCUUCGGAUCGUAAAACUCUGUUAUUAGGGAAGAACAUAUGUGUAAGUAACUGUGCACAUCUUGACGGUACCUAAUCAGAAAGCCACGGCUAACUACGUGCCAGCAGCCGCGGUAAUACGUAGGUGGCAAGCGUUAUCCGGAAUUAUUGGGCGUAAAGCGCGCGUAGGCGGUUUUUUAAGUCUGAUGUGAAAGCCCACGGCUCAACCGUGGAGGGUCAUUGGAAACUGGAAAACUUGAGUGCAGAAGAGGAGAGUGGAAUUCCAUGUGUAGCGGUGAAAUGCGCAGAGAUAUGGAGGAACACCAGUGGCGAAGGCGACUUUCUGGUCUGUAACUGACGCUGAUGUGCGAAAGCGUGGGGAUCAAACAGGAUUAGAUACCCUGGUAGUCCACGCCGUAAACGAUGAGUGCUAAGUGUUAGGGGGUUUCCGCCCCUUAGUGCUGCAGCUAACGCAUUAAGCACUCCGCCUGGGGAGUACGACCGCAAGGUUGAAACUCAAAGGAAUUGACGGGGACCCGCACAAGCGGUGGAGCAUGUGGUUUAAUUCGAAGCAACGCGAAGAACCUUACCAAAUCUUGACAUCCUUUGACAACUCUAGAGAUAGAGCCUUCCCCUUCGGGGGGGCAAAGUGACAGGUGGUGCAUGGUUGUCGUCAGCUCGUGUCGUGAGAUGUUGGGUUAAGUCCCGCAACGAGCGCAACCCUUAAGCUUAGUUGCCAUCAUUAAGUUGGGCACUCUAAGUUGACUGCCGGUGACAAACCGGAGGAAGGUGGGGAUGACGUCAAAUCAUCAUGCCCCUUAUGAUUUGGGCUACACACGUGCUACAAUGGACAAUACAAAGGGCAGCGAAACCGCGAGGUCAAGCAAAUCCCAUAAAGUUGUUCUCAGUUCGGAUUGUAGUCUGCAACUCGACUACAUGAAGCUGGAAUCGCUAGUAAUCGUAGAUCAGCAUGCUACGGUGAAUACGUUCCCGGGUCU